UCCUGUAAAACUGAUUUUACAAGAAAAUCUCAUCUACCGGUAAAUACAACAUCCAACCGGGAGGCUUUUCACUCCUUCCUGUGUGCAAUUAACAGCAAACACCUUGUCAUAAACAUUUUUGAAAGGUCAGAGAUGGCAACAAUUUUGCUAAAGAGAUAAAUAGUCAAAUAAAACUCUGCCCUGGUAAUUCCCAGGCUUCAAAAACCAGCAUAUGUCUGAUCAAUAAUGAGACACACAAAGGGGAUUGUGGGAUAAAGGGCGGGUCCAAUUUGAGGUAUUAAAAACUUGCCUAAGUCAUUUUUUUCCCAACACAUCUUGUGUUGCAGCAGAUAGUGGAGCCGUUAAUGGGCAAUGUUAGGGAAAUAAGAUUCUGGCUAUGAAACAAAAGAUUGUUUUAGGUUGAAGAAGUAAAUAAUAGUAAGAAUAAGGACUUUUGCAAAAGCCAAGAGCCUUCAGAUGGUCGGAGAAAGUAGUGGAUGCUGAAAGACUGAAUAAUGUCAUCAAACUGGCCUUUUGUCUUGCACCAUUACAGCUAUUUUUCUUGGCUUCAACCAGGAGCUUCAGAAGAACUAAAAGUCAUAUUUCUUUGCCCAGUUAUUGGUUUAAGGAAACCAGGGAUCACCAUGUAUUUUACGAAAAAGGAUGUGCAUCCUGCCAGAUUGUGGCAUGACACUCGGCCCCUCAAUAAGAAGCCAUUGGGUUCCAACUACAGACGAAAUCUCAAACCUGACCCUUGCCUCUAAGGAGCAGACAAUGGCAUCUCCUCCAUCAUCCCAAAUGAAGAAUCAUCUUGGAAAAUUGUGACAAAUUUAUAGACUAAAGUUUCUUCUCCGUUGUAAGAAUCUUGAGACGUCUGGAAUUCUAGACACUGUCUCCUAAAAAUUUCCAGGAUAAACUUCCCUCCUUCUUUUACUAUAGGUGCACUCUACAAAAGAAGCUGAGAAUCCCCGCAGCAGAUGAUGGAGAACCUCUGCAGUCUCUCCCUUCUUCCUUUCUUGAUCAUUAUCCCUAUGAUUGAUCAGCCCCACUCAAUGAAUUAGAAGGGCGGAGGCUCAUGGCCCAAUCCAAUGUAACUGAAUAAAGCAGCAUGAGCAAAGGGAAGGACACAGAAACUACCAUCUAAAAAAGGUGAAGACCUGGACCCCCAUUAUCACACCUGCCCCUUUGGCUAAUUGCAAAAGAAGAAAACGGAACAUGAGCUCCAGCCAGAAAAGAUUCACAGCUGCCACUCUUUAGUUGCUACUUUAAUGGAAAACACAUGUGCAAGAUACCACCCAGGAGACAACUGUGCUCUGACAAAAGGAACGUCACCAGAAAAUGAGCCACGUGAGAGGACUUAUUCUCUUGGAUAGGCCGAACCCAGAAAGAAGGUUGAUAGUAUUGUUCUUAUAUAAAUAUGUGCUGGUCCAAAGAUGAGAUGUGGGACAGAAAUUGAUCUGUAGCAACCAAGUUGAAAGGCAAUGAUGUAAAUUAGCCCUCAACAAUUCUCACUCUACAACAAUUUUACCAUCA
This is a long non-coding RNA of Felis catus (domestic cat), 1512 nucleotides long. RefSeq lists it as uncharacterized. The transcript is spliced from 7 exons. The record is from RefSeq and is a predicted model, not a curated record. NCBI's taxonomy places the organism in Eukaryota, Metazoa, Chordata, Mammalia, Carnivora, Felidae.